This 466-nucleotide ribosomal RNA is filed under the name uncultured bacterium. Its description in RNAcentral is "partial 16S ribosomal RNA". It matches the Rfam family "Bacterial small subunit ribosomal RNA", at positions 339 to 795 of the family's 1533-position model. The record is from RNAcentral.
CUACGGGGCGCAGCAGUGGGGAAUAUUGGACAAUGGGGGAAACCCUGAUCCAGCAAUGCCGCGUGUGUGAAGAAGGCCUGCGGGUUGUAAAGCACUUUCGGUUGGGAGGACUGCUUCUAGCACUAAUAUUGUUGGAAGUUGACGUUACCUUCAGAAGAAGCACCGGCUAACUCCGUGCCAGCAGCCGCGGUAAUACGGAGGGUGCAAGCGUGUAAUCGGAAUUACUGGGCGUAAAGCGCGCGUAGGCGGCUAGAUCAGUCGGGUGUGAAAGCCCCGGGCUUAACCUGGGAACUGCAUCCGAUACUGUCUAGCUUGAGUACAGGAGAGGAGAGUGGAAUUCCACAUGUAGCGGUGAAAUGCGUAGAUAUGUGGAGGAACACCAAUGGCGAAGGCAGCUCUCUGGCCUGAUACUGACGCUGAGGUGCGAAAGCGUGGGGAGCAAACAGGAUUAGAUAUCCCUGUAGUC